AAGCAGUGUUGUCAAGGCCUUUUCUUCGGGAAAUCCUUGCAAGUUAGACUUCCUUGAAUCUGGCGCGGGAGAGGCUUCUAGACCUGAAUGGGAUAGUUAUCCGCCAUCGCGCCUUUGAGGGACUCUGACGAAAUGCUUCUUAUCAUCCCGUCUUGAAACACGGACCAAGGAGUCUAACAUGUGUGCGAGUGCUCGGGGUGAAUCCCCCAGCGCGGAAUUAACGUAAAGGAGGCUGAGGUAGGAAGUUUUGUAAAAGGAACUGCACUAUCGACCGACCAUGAUCCCUCGGGAGAAAGGUUUGAGUGUGAGCAUACAUGUUGGGACCCGAAAGAUGGUGAACUAUGCCUGAGUAGGGCGAAGCCAGGGGAAACUCUGGUGGAGGUCCGUAGCGAUUCUAACGUGCAAAUUGAUCGUCGAACUUGGGUAUAGGGGCGAAAGACUAAUCGAACCAUCUAGUAGCUGGUUCCUCCCGAAAUUUCCCUCAGGAUAGCUGCAACCGAACAGUUUUAUCAGGUAAAGCGAAUGAUUAGUGGCAUCAGGGGUGGAACGUCCUUGACCAAUUCUCAAACUUUAAAUGGGUAAGAGCCCUGGGUUGCUUAACUGAACCCGGUGGUAGAAUGACGGUUGCUAGUGGGCCAAUCUGGGUAAGCUAGAUUGGCGAUGCGGGAUGAACCGAACGUCGAGUUAAAGUGCCAAAGUAUCCGCUAACCUAGAUCCCACAAAAGGUGUUGGUUCAUCUAG
This 741-nucleotide ribosomal RNA is filed under the name uncultured stramenopile. RNAcentral describes it as "LSU rRNA". It matches the Rfam family "Eukaryotic large subunit ribosomal RNA", at positions 494 to 1236 of the family's 3401-position model. The record is from RNAcentral.